Molecule: non-coding RNA, 126 nt
Organism: Triticum urartu
Lineage: Eukaryota; Viridiplantae; Streptophyta; Magnoliopsida; Poales; Poaceae
Source: Rfam
AGAGUACUCCCUCCAUCCGAAAAAUCUUGUCCCAAACUUGUCUUUCAAAUGAAUAUAUCUAGCACUAACUUGAUGCUAGAUACAUUCAUAUGAGAGACAAGCUAUUUCAGACGGAGGGAGUAAUAA